Molecule: ribosomal RNA, 546 nt
Filed under: Triticum aestivum (bread wheat)
Lineage: Eukaryota; Viridiplantae; Streptophyta; Magnoliopsida; Poales; Poaceae
Description: partial small subunit ribosomal RNA
Source: RNAcentral
CCGCCGCAGCGGUGGGUGAGCUCGUCGACGAAGUCGUCGAAGCUCCUCUGCGACGACCCGCCGGGCGCCGCGGCGGCCUUGAGCUUGGCCGUCACCUUCCUGAGCGCCUGGCGGAGCUGCUGGCCCUCUUGACCGGAUAUGACGCCCUGGAUCCUGGCGCUCACCUCGUCGGGGAACACCUUGCCGCGGUCGCCGAUGGGCACGCCGACGCGCCACUCGCGCACGACGAGCCGGCGGUUGGUGAACUGGUCGGUGAGCAGCGGGAAGCAGAGCAUGGGCACGCCGGCCCACACGCUCUCGAGGACGGAGUUCCAGCCGCAGUGCGUGAGGAAGCCGGCGAGCGCGGCGUGGGCGAGCACCUCCACCUGGCAGCACCAGGGCACGACGAGGCCGCGGCCGGCGGAGGCGGCCGCGAAGCCCCCGGGCAGCGGGUCCGGGUCGUCGGAGCUGACGAUGUCCGGCCGCAUCGCCCAGAGGAACCUGGCGCCGCUGGCGAGCACCCCGGCCGCGAUGUCGUGCAGCUCCUGCCGGGUGACGUGCGCGUAG